CAGGGCCUGAGCGGGUUCUGUGCCUGGCUGCCCACCGGCUCUCUGACCUGGACCUCGCCGUCGCUGGCCCCUGAAAUCCAUCACUUUUGUCGGCUGUUCUGUGACGCCACAACGAGGAGCCACCUGGGCUCUGCUGACCCUUCGGGAUUCGCGGCUAGCUGUGAUGUGUCCGCCAAGAUCUCUUCUCUUGUCUGUAAACAACUUCACUCUCAAGGAGGCAGCUCUGGCCUCUCAGCAGGAGCUGGGGAGGAGUGACUGAAUAACUAUAGGAUUUGGUCUUGAUGGGAGAAUCCCAGAAGCCAAAUCCACGCGGUGAAUAAGCUGCUGAUCUUCCAGAGCACACAUCCCCUAGAGAUUCUUCCCAAUGCUAAUAUGAAAGGUUACAACCAUAACCCAUCAUCAGGCCCAAAUAUAUUACUUACUGAAUAAAUACACAAGUUACAACAACAAAAAAAAAAAAAAA
RNAcentral lists this long non-coding RNA (463 nucleotides) under Homo sapiens (human). RNAcentral describes it as "RSPH1 divergent transcript (RSPH1-DT)". Lineage: Eukaryota; Metazoa; Chordata; Mammalia; Primates; Hominidae. The record is from RNAcentral.